Molecule: ribosomal RNA, 533 nt
Filed under: uncultured bacterium
Lineage: Bacteria
Description: bacterial SSU rRNA
Rfam family: Archaeal small subunit ribosomal RNA
Source: RNAcentral
AGUGAAUAGAUACCCGGGUAGUCCCAGCUGUAAACUAUGCAGGCUAGGUGUUUGAGCGGCCACGUGCCGCUCUAGUGCCGCAGGGAAGCUGUUAAGCCUGCCGCCUGGGGAGUACGGUCGCAAGAUUGAAACUUAAAGGAAUUGGCGGGGGAGCACCACAAGGGGUGAAAGCUUGCGGUUUAAUUGGAGUCAACGCCGGAAAUCUCACCGGGGGCGACAGCAGUAUGAUGGCCAGAUUAAAGGUCUUGCCAGACGAGCUGAGAGGAGGUGCAUGGCCGUCGCCAGUUCGUGCCGUGAGGUGUCCUGUUAAGUCAGGCAACGAUCGAGACCCGCGUCCUCUGUUGCUACUGGUUUUGUACCAGGCACACUGAGGAGACCGCCGCUGACAAAGCGGAGGAAGGAGCGGGCCACGGCAGGUCAGUAUGCCCCGAAUCUCCCGGGCCACACGCGAGCUGCAAUGGCAGGUACAAUGGGUUCCGACCUCGAAAGGGGGAGGCAAUCUCGAAAGCCUGCCGUAGUUGGGAUCGUGGGUU